AGAGUUUGAUCCUGGCUCAGGACGAACGCUGGCGGUGUGCUUCACACAGGCAAGUCGAGCGAAUGAAGAAGGUAGCUUGCUACUUUUGGAUUUAGCGGCGGACGGGUGAGUAAUAUAUAGGAAUCUGCCCUAGAGCGGGGAACAACAGACCGAAAGGUUUGCUAAUGCCCCAUAGGUACGCAGUCUUCGGAUUGUUUAUUAAAGGAGUAAUCCACUCUAGGAUGAGCCUGUAUCCGAUUAGCUAGUUGGCGGGGUAAAGGCCCACCAAGGCUACGAUCGGUAGUUGGUCUGAGAGGAUGAUCAGCCACAAUGGGACUGAGACACGGCCCAUACUCCUACGGGAGGCAGCAGUGGGGAAUUUUACACAAUGGGGGAAACCCUGAUGUAGCGACACCGCGUGAACGAAGAAGCCUUUUGGGGUGUAAAGUUCUGUCGGCUGGAACGAAAAAAAUGACGGUACCAGCAAAGGAAGCAUCGGCUAACUACGUGCCAGCAGCCACGGUAAGACGUAGGAUGCAAGCGUUGUCCGGAUUUAUUGGGCGUAAAGAGUUCGUAGGCGGUUAUUUAAGUCUGGUGUUAAAUACUGUGGCCCAACCACAGAACUGCAUUGGAUACUGGAUGACUUGAGUGCGGUAGAGGCGAGUGGAAUUCCCAGUGUAGCGGUGAAAUGCGUAGA
This 676-nucleotide ribosomal RNA is filed under the name uncultured bacterium. Its description in RNAcentral is "bacterial SSU rRNA". It matches the Rfam family "Bacterial small subunit ribosomal RNA", at positions 8 to 694 of the family's 1533-position model. The record is from RNAcentral.